UAUUAUUAAUGCAUAAGUAUAAAUUAUAUAAAAAUAUUUUGAUCAAUUUAUUCACGAUUUUUUUUGCAUUUAGCCCCCUGGCAAAUUUUUAUUUUAAAAAUAUCCCUGUCAAAAUUUAAUUUACAAACAUAGCCCUAGGCCUGCCACACGGGCGGGGCUGGGGGCGGUAGUUAAGUUAAACAUGAUUCGGAUAUCCAUUACUAUUGACAUCCCUACUUCCUAUUCCUCUUUUCAAUAAAAAUGCGUACUAAACACUGUGAAUUAUUCACCGUGUUUGCGGUGAAUGAUUUACCGUGUUCAACUUAAUACACGGGCUCCGGUGCGCUGACGUGGCGCGUACGUGGCGGGCCAAGGAUCAUUUUUACAAAUUAAAUUUUAAUAGGACUAAUUUUAAAAUAAAAAUUUGCCGGGGAGCUAAAUGCAAAAAAAGCCCAUUUAUUCAU
RNAcentral lists this long non-coding RNA (443 nucleotides) under Ananas comosus (pineapple). Its description in RNAcentral is "long non-coding RNA (ACOM_LNC032309)". Lineage: Eukaryota; Viridiplantae; Streptophyta; Magnoliopsida; Poales; Bromeliaceae. The record is from RNAcentral.